UCCCUGGUGGCUCAGCUGGUAAAGAAUCCGCCUGCAACGCGGGAGACCUGGGCUCGAUCCCUGGCUUGGGAA
Molecule: transfer RNA, 72 nt
Filed under: Bos taurus (domestic cattle)
Lineage: Eukaryota; Metazoa; Chordata; Mammalia; Artiodactyla; Bovidae
Also listed under: 5 other names
Rfam family: tRNA
About the family: Transfer RNA (tRNA) molecules are approximately 80 nucleotides in length. Their secondary structure includes four short double-helical elements and three loops (D, anti-codon, and T loops). Further hydrogen bonds mediate the characteristic L-shaped molecular structure. tRNAs have two regions of fundamental functional importance: the anti-codon, which is responsible for specific mRNA codon recognition, and the 3' end, to which the tRNAs corresponding amino acid is attached (by aminoacyl-tRNA synthetases). tRNAs cope with the degeneracy of the genetic code in two manners: having more than one tRNA (with a specific anti-codon) for a particular amino acid; and 'wobble' base-pairing, i.e. permitting non-standard base-pairing at the 3rd anti-codon position.
Source: Rfam by way of RNAcentral